This 343-nucleotide unclassified non-coding RNA is filed under the name soil metagenome. RNAcentral describes it as "partial contains 5.8S ribosomal RNA, internal transcribed spacer 2, and large subunit ribosomal RNA". The stretch from base 1 to 120 matches the Rfam family "5.8S ribosomal RNA", at positions 35 to 154 of the family's 154-position model. The record is from RNAcentral.
GAUGAAGAACGCAGCGAAAUGCGAUAAGUAAUGUGAAUUGCAGAAUUCAGUGAAUCAUCGAAUCUUUGAACGCACAUUGCGCCCGCUAGUAUUCUGGCGGGCAUCCCUGUCCGAGCGCCAUUUCAACCCUCAAGCCCCCGGGCUUGGUGUUGGGGAUCGGCGAGCCUCCGCGCCCGCCGUCCCCUAAAUCUAGUGGCGGUCUCGCUGUAGCUUCCUCUGCGUAGUAGCACACCUCGCACUGGGAAACAGCGCGGCCACGCCGUUAAACCCCCAACUUCUGAACGUUUGACCUCGGAUCAGGUAGGAAUACCCGCUGAACUUAAGCAUAUCAAUAAGCGGAGGA